CGGAGGGUGCAAGCGUUAUCCGGAUUCACUGGGUUUAAAGGGUGCGUAGGUGGGCAGGUAAGUCAGUGGUGAAAUCUCCGGGCUUAACCCGGAAACUGCCAUUGAUACUAUUUGUCUUGAAUACUGUGGAGGUCAGCGGAAUAUGUCAUGUAGCGGUGAAAUGCUUAGAUAUGACAUAGAACACCAAUUGCGAAGGCAGCUGGCUACACAAAUAUUGACACUGAGGCACGAAAGCGUGGGGAUCAAACAGGAUUAGAUACCCUGGUAGUCCACGCCCUAAACUAUGGAUACUCGACAUUUGCGAUAAACUGCAAGUGUCUGAGCGAAAGCAUUAAGUAUCCCACCUGGGAAGUACGAUCGCAAGAUUG
Molecule: ribosomal RNA, 368 nt
Filed under: uncultured organism
Description: bacterial SSU rRNA
Rfam family: Bacterial small subunit ribosomal RNA
Source: RNAcentral